GUACACAAAAAUGCACAUGCUGUGAGCUCGAUGAGUAGGGCGGGACACGUGGUAUCCUGUCUGAAUAUGGGGGGACCAUCCUCCAAGGCUAAAUACUCCUGACUGACCGAUAGUGAACCAGUACCGUGAGGGAAAGGCGAAAAGAACCCCGGCGAGGGGAGUGAAAAAGAACCUGAAACCGUGUACGUACAAGCAGUGGGAGCACGCUUAGGCGUGUGACUGCGUACCUUUUGUAUAAUGGGUCAGCGACUUAUAUUCUGUAGCAAGGUUAACCGAAUAGGGGAGCCGAAGGGAAACCGAGUCUUAACUGGGCGUUAAGUUGCAGGGUAUAGACCCGAAACCCGGUGAUCUAGCCAUGGGCAGGUUGAAGGUUGGGUAACACUAACUGGAGGACCGAACCGACUAAUGU
Molecule: ribosomal RNA, 409 nt
Filed under: Escherichia coli
Lineage: Bacteria; Pseudomonadati; Pseudomonadota; Gammaproteobacteria; Enterobacterales; Enterobacteriaceae
Description: partial 23S ribosomal RNA
Rfam family: Bacterial large subunit ribosomal RNA
Source: RNAcentral